RNAcentral lists this long non-coding RNA (930 nucleotides) under Olea europaea (common olive). RNAcentral describes it as "long non-coding RNA (OEUR_LNC000924)". Lineage: Eukaryota; Viridiplantae; Streptophyta; Magnoliopsida; Lamiales; Oleaceae. The record is from RNAcentral.
CCCCCUUCACUGAAAAUCCGCAACCAAGACCAUCACCUAACACUGAUAACACGUACAAUGCUUUUCGAUUUGAACACGGACAACGUGUUAAACCCCCAUUUCAAAAUGGAUCGAAUACAUAGAACACACCCAAACUCAACUGGUUUGAUUUUCUUGGAUUUUCUCAAAAACUUCAUUGAAACUGCGGUCUGUCUUCAACAGCUCUAUCAACCUCUUUGAACCAUUUUCACUCAAAUCAAGAGACAAAAACCUUCAGUUUUAUCAAAUUCUUGAAAAUAUUUGCAGAAAUUUUGCCUUCAAAAGUUGUUCCAGGGUCACGGCUCUGACCACCAGUCCACCUUCUCCAACAAAUUAAUCCUAGAAGUAUACCCCCUUAAAAAUUCGUCGUGCAAGUUGUGAAUUUUUGAUAAGGAAAAAAAAUUGGGAAUUAGGAAAUAGGAUUUCGAAUUUGGGAUUAAACACACGAAAUUGGGGGUGUUGAAGGAAUGGAUUCAUGAAAUUUCGGCACGAUGGCGAUUGUCGAUUUGAUGUAGUGGCGGCGGCUACGAUGCCGAUGAAUUGUAAGUGAUGGCCGGUGGCUCGGCCGGAGUGGGAUGUGGUUUUUCCUGGUCUAAUUUUGAUUGUGGGGGUGGGGAUUAGGGUUGGUGGGGUUGGGAAAGUUUCGGUUUCAGUUCUUUACAUUUUCCUUCUUUUUUUUUUUCUUUUUUUUUUUUAUAAAUAUAAUUUAAUAUUUUAAUUAUUUGUAGUAGAAAAAUCUAAAAUUACCAUUUUAUCCCUUUCAAUUUAGUUAAAAUUGGUCAAAAUUCAUUUUUAUUGAAAUAGGUGGUUUUAAUCCAAUCAAACUCCAACUGUUACUUUUUCAAAGGUUUGUAACUUUCGCUAGCACAAAGUAAAGAUUAGGGUAAAGUCUGCUAAAAAUUCAAAGAUUUG